CCGCAGGAGUCGGAGCGUGAGGAGGCUUUUACGGCAGCCGCGUGCCGGAAAGUGUGUGAGUGCCGGGCCGGAGCGUUUUAUUCUGUUUUCCGAAUCCUGAGGUCUGGAGGCGGUGAAAGUAGCUGGGACGAAUCUUUCUGUGCGGUUUCGAGAAGGAAGGGGGCCGCCGGCUACGCGACUGGAUCGAGUGACUGACACCGGCUCGGCUGCCUGGGCCGCCACCUCUUAGACCAGCGUGGGGCGGGGCUUGAUUAGCAGUUUAGAAAAAGAGGUACAUUAAAUAUAAAAGUGAAUACUUUCCAUGAUACGUGCAAAUGGCCAGUUCUUUAAGAGGAGAAGUACUGAAUCUUUAUAAGAAUCUGCUGUAUCUUGGACGAGACUAUCCAAAAGGAGCAGACUAUUUUAAAAGGCGUCUGAAGAGUGUUUUCCUUAAAAACAAAGAUGUGAAGGACCCAGAGAAGAUCAAAGAACUUAUUGAACAGGGCAAAUUUGUAAUGAAAGAACUAGAAGCAUUAUACUUCCUUAGGAAAUAUAGAGCUAUGAAACAACGCUAUUACUCAGAUACCAACAAAACUAACUGAUCACUAUUACUAUAAUUUGAGAAUCAGUGCCAGCUGUUUAUGUAUACCAGCUACUACAAAAAUAAUUCUAAAAUGUCAAGAUAAUACAUUUUGUUAAAAAUACCUGAGCUGCCUUACUAAAACAGGUUUCGACUUCUGUUCAAACUGAGAGCUUUAUCAGCAACCUUUAUGCUCAAUUUUUAUACUAAAAUAGCAAUUUAACUAUAUGAUGCUGCCAACUACCAAUUAAAAAUUGAUGAGCACCCAAUUUUGAAUGAAAAUAUAAUGUACUUAAUUUUUAAUGAAUUUUUGCCAAUUCUUAGCCCAUCUCUGCAUCUUACUGAAAAAAGAAUGCCGUUUAAUGCACAUUUAAGUAAGCGAAAUAAUUUCUUGCAAGUUUAUUCCCCUUAACUUUUGAAGGAGUUCCUUAUUUUUGACCCCAUUUGGUACAUUAACAGCACAGAGUCAAGGUUCACUGCAAAAGAAAGAAUGAUUUAAGUGCAGUUAGUAGAAAUAAUAAGUAUAGAGUAAGAUUACUUCUGAACUCGAAACAGCCUGCCAGCGACUGGCAUCACAUAUAUAUACCUAUCUAAUUAUUUCCAUUAUUAAUUUUUGCCACUGGCUGUCUUUGGGCCUUAAAACAAAUCACCCGUUGUGUAUCAAUUACCUUCUUCAAUAAAAAGUAAUAAAUAAUGUUAUUCUA
This is an RNA transcript of Balaenoptera musculus (blue whale), 1263 nucleotides long. It is a transcript of the gene named electron transfer flavoprotein regulatory factor 1, with no coding region annotated. The transcript is spliced from 4 exons. The record is from RefSeq and is a predicted model, not a curated record. Lineage: Eukaryota; Metazoa; Chordata; Mammalia; Artiodactyla; Balaenopteridae.